This 580-nucleotide ribosomal RNA is filed under the name uncultured Lachnospiraceae bacterium. RNAcentral describes it as "bacterial SSU rRNA". It matches the Rfam family "Bacterial small subunit ribosomal RNA", at positions 61 to 642 of the family's 1533-position model. Lineage: Bacteria; Bacillati; Bacillota; Clostridia; Lachnospirales; Lachnospiraceae. The record is from RNAcentral.
GUCGAACGGAGCUGCUUUGAUGAAGUUUUCGGAUGGAUUUAAAACAGCUUAGUGGCGGACGGGUGAGUAACGCGUGGGUAACCUGCCUCACACUGGGGGAUAACAGUUAGAAAUAGCUGCUAAUACCGCAUAAGCGCACAGUUCCGCAUGGAACAGUGUGAAAAACUCCGGUGGUGUGAGAUGGACCCGCGUCUGAUUAGCCAGUUGGCGGGGUAACGGCCCACCAAAGCGACGAUCAGUAGCCGGCCUGAGAGGGUGAACGGCCACAUUGGGACUGAGACACGGCCCAAACUCCUACGGGAGGCAGCAGUGGGGAAUAUUGCACAAUGGGGGAAACCCUGAUGCAGCGACGCCGCGUGAGUGAAGAAGUAUUUCGGUAUGUAAAGCUCUAUCAGCAGGGAAGAAAGUGACGGUACCUGAAUAAGAAGCCCCGGCUAACUACGUGCCAGCAGCCGCGGUAAUACGUGGGGGGCAAGCGUUAUCCGGAUUUACUGGGUGUAAAGGGAGCGUAGACGGCAAGGCAAGUCUGAAGUGAAAGCCCGGUGCUUAACGCCGGGACUGCUUUGGAAACUGUUUAGCU